CUUUACAUACUGUCUGUUUUCUUCUAACAGCCUCUAAGCUCCAAGAGGUCAGGGACUGGCCGUGUUUUUCAGUCUGCAUGUCUAGAGCCUGGGAGAACUCUAGGAUCCUGGAAGGCACCCAACAGGAAGUUGAUUGACUUUAUGGCUGGACUCUCAGCUUCCAUCGGCUCUCUUCUGCCCAUUGACAAUAGUGUCUAGCUGAAGUCAUGGGUCUGGGUCUGCAUUCCCGAAGAUCCUGCCGGCCAGUGUGCUUACCUCCAGGGAUAUCUGAAGGCACUCAGAAAACAUGUAUCGCUGUGGAUGGCUUCUCAAUGACAAGAAGCAAGAUUCCUGAGAUUUUUGUCCUUUGAGAAACUCUACAGCUUUUCCCAGUGGGGCAGUUCUGCUCUCCAGAAGACACCUGCUGUGACGAGCCAAAAACAGCUGGCAGGCCACAGAGGAAGCUGGCACUCGCUCAGCAAAGAACCAAACCCAAACCAGACCUUGCCUACAGUUGGAUGGCAAAGUUCCCAGAUGGGCAGCUUGAAAUAAAGAGAUGUGAGGUGUUCGAUAUAAAAGAAAAUAAAACUGCC
Molecule: long non-coding RNA, 572 nt
Filed under: Cricetulus griseus (Chinese hamster)
Lineage: Eukaryota; Metazoa; Chordata; Mammalia; Rodentia; Cricetidae
Description: lncRNA (ENSCGRG00000024862.1)
Source: RNAcentral